Long non-coding RNA from Erinaceus europaeus (western European hedgehog), 1331 nucleotides. RefSeq lists it as uncharacterized. The record is from RefSeq and is a predicted model, not a curated record. NCBI's taxonomy places the organism in Eukaryota, Metazoa, Chordata, Mammalia, Eulipotyphla, Erinaceidae. The transcript has 4 exons.
UUCUUGGACCAGCCCACAUCCCUGGAGCUCCCACAGUUGACAAACACGCUGCCAAUCAUGCCGAUAGAGAAAUGUGGUGGUUCCCUGAGUGGCCACGAGGGGGAGCGCGAACACCAUUCACAGAAAAAUGGCAGUUUCUGUGUGCAGCAACGGCCAGCAGAGGGCGCGCGCUCUACUGGUCAAAGUCCAGAGGACAGCACAGGUUCUUGGAGCAGCUUCCCCAAGGGACCUGCUCUGCCCUUCCAGAGCUAUCAGCAGGUGUGGCAGGGCUUUGACCCAACUUGACGCCUCUUGAGCUGUGAGAAGCUGCCUACUGACGCCUAUCUCUGAAAAGAGAGCUCUGUGUGACCUCUCAGGGACAGAUGUCACUGGACCUCACAGACCUUUGCAUUUGGGACUGUCUCCUCUAUACUUUGCUUUCUCUGGCAAUACCCAGACAGGAUUAUCUCAGUGUCCGAUUGACUGAGGGCUUCCAAGAUUCUAAAGCACAGACGAUGUGAUGCAAGAGACGUUUUCUCUCAACAGAGUUGUGUCUGGAGUGAAGUCAAUUCGGAGGCACUAGGACACGAAUGUCCCAAACACGCAAUGCCAGGACCUUCCAGGAAUCAACCAGGGAUCUGCCUGCCCAGUCAUGUGGGAACCCCACCUUGGAGAUCUCCAUGAACUUUUCCUACUUGUUGAAAGCACCACGUCACUAUGACAAGUUACAGAAAAGGACUGGAUCAUUUUGCAUCAGAAAAAGUUGACGUCAUCCUCAUUCACUUCUUCACUUGAUAGCCUACACAGAUGUGAAUAUUGAAUGGGAGGACUGUAUCUUCAGAUAUUUUCCAUCUAGAUGUCUAGGCAGUUCAAGAGUACACUAAAGAGAACCUCAACUUCCUUUUCAGUUUGACCAUAGCACUUAAUUUUUCUCACACAAGAUAAAUUGCUGAGACUUGAUCUCACAAGACAGAGAACAAUCAAAAUGCCUUGUUCACUGAGAUUUGCAUACAGCAAAAUCUUCCAGAAAUGAAAAAAGAUGAAUCCAAUUAGAGGUGUGAACACAAGGCAAAUAACAAGAACAUUUCUGGAACUCUUUUGCCGGCCCCUGGAGAAAUCCUGGAAUAAGAAGCUUCACAAGAAUUUCUUGUGCAGAUCAAGGAAGUGAACUCGGAAGGGUCUCACCAAGUCAGUGGAUUUUUCUUUCACACACAUUCUUACGUCAGAUACAAAAUGACCUGGUCACACAGACUAGGGAUUUCAAAAAAAUAGACUUUAAACAUACCAAGGGAUCAGCUGACAUGAAUAUAAGGCCAAAUCAGUAGUACAUUCUACAAACCAGGCCUGCUUGG